UACGUAGGGGGCAAGCGUUGUCCGGAUUUAUUGGGCGUAAAGAGCGUGUAGGCGGCUUUACAGGUCCGUUGUGAAAACUCGAGGCUCAACCUCGAGACGCCGGUGGAAACCGUAAAGCUAGAGUCCGGAAGAGGAGAGUGGAAUUCCUGGUGUAGCGGUGAAAUGCGUAGAUAUCUGGAGGAACACCGGUGGCGAAGGCGGCAUCCUGGACCAACACUGACGCUGAGGAGCGAAAGCCAGGGGAGCAAACGGG
RNAcentral lists this ribosomal RNA (253 nucleotides) under uncultured bacterium. Its description in RNAcentral is "partial 16S ribosomal RNA". It matches the Rfam family "Bacterial small subunit ribosomal RNA", at positions 524 to 776 of the family's 1533-position model. The record is from RNAcentral.